AUGAAAAACAACAGAAUCUCACCACAGAUUCUCAGAUAGAGUAAAAACAACACCUAGACCUUUCUUUUAAUUUUCUGUAGAAUUUGGUCAAGUUUGAAACUUUUUUCAAAAUCUUGAAAGGCUUCCUUUAGCAGGAGUCCUGUCCUGGAAUGAACACUGAAGUCCUCUAACAUGCUAAGGAAACCCCUGUCCCCAGUGAGCCUGGUCCAGCUGCCCUUCUGGGUACUCAUUUUCCAGGUUCUUGGGGGUUCUCCUCACUUGGGAAUUCAGCAGCUGCCUACAAUCCAUUCUCUGAAGUGUUGCUGGUUGUGCCCUAUCAGCACAGCAAGAACCCAGAGCCAGCACCUACUCAAGCUGAACUUAACACUCACCUAUCAGCAGGAACAGAGGCUUCAUGUGCAAGAUGAAAGUGGAAGAAAAGACAGAAGACAGAUACAAAGUACAUAUCAUGGUGACACAAGAGGACACCGAGGUUUGCUGCUCAGCCACCAAAGCCUAAGUGAAGCAAAAGUGAAGGUGGCAGCUGUAAACAUCCUACACUCAACACACUGUCAUCACCAAGGAAUCUGAAAGUUAUGCAAUACAACAGGCUUUAAAGCCACCAGGGACCUCCUAACACAAGAUGGAAAUAACUUAUUAUGCAAGUAAGAUUAAAACACUGACCUUGAAUCCAGUCUUUUGCCAAGGGGCAGAGUGUGUGGGGGUGGAAAAUCAACUGUGGUACAGAAGCUUGCACUGUGCUUAGGAAAGCAUAAGAAUUUUCACAAGCAAACGUCUCCAUCAUAUAGGAAAGUGAGCUUUUUAAUAUUUCAUAUGGCAAGGCAUUCCUUAGGAAAUAGCACAGCUUCAGCUCUGCACAGUCAGUGUCAUGUUCCAGGCAGUCCUGCAGUGCUUGCUCCAAGCCCCUCCAGUGUGUGCUGGCCUGCAGAGGCCACCAGAGCAGCAGGGACAGCCCUGGGGAUGGAAGCCCAGCGGAGGCUGGGGGCUGUGCAGAGCCAGGCCAGCUGGGAUUCCCUGGGAGCCGGGGGUGCCAAGGGCCACAGCAGAGAGCCCUUGGAUGGCUCUGUGCUGACAGCUCAGGGCCAGGCUCCCAGUGCCAGCAAUAACCCAGCCGUGCACCACAACCUGGGGCUGUCACACUGCACAGCCCAGAACAGAAGUGCAUUAUAGCCAGUUACUAAGUAGGAAAACAGAAAAAAGGAAAUAUGACUUUUGCCUCAAUGCACUCAUGUGAACACUACUAAUCCUGUCUCUGGCACUCCCAGAGCCUCUGUAAGACCAUCAGUGCUGCACUGACUUCACAUCCAGCAGGUCUGGGCUAUCAUUUGCAUUUGACAAAGACAAAGCAUGACAAAGGAAACUGGCAACACCACAGAAGACCAACAUCUGAACAGCUGGUCCCAAUUUUUGAAACUCUUGCUUCACUGAGACAGGCAGGAGCUUUACAGGUUAAUUCUAUUUUCAAGUAUUCUUUUCUAUGGACAGAGUUUCUUGCAGGGGUUGAGAAUGUCUUUAUCAGCAGCAACAGAGAUCUACUGUCUUAUUCCAGCCAGGCUGGAAUACUGCCUCAAGGUAAUAGUCCUUCUUAUGCUGUUCAGGAUACCAAAAUAUCUUUAAAAAGGGAAUUACAGUUGACUGCUUCACUAGGAAUCUUAAAGAUGCAGAUGAUCUGAAGGCAGGUUUCUUUGGUUAUGUUUGCAGGGGGGGACUGGGGUGUUUUCUGUUUUGUUUGGUUUGGGUGUUUUUGUCAGCUACCCCAAAAAAUUUCUCUUCAUGCAACUCCCAAAAGAGAGCUGAGAGGGGAAGAACCAGAGAGCUGCUGGAAUACAUAUUCAGAAGAAAGACAGAGAGAGCAGACAUGUAAGGAGUGCUCCAUCCCAGGGGAUCUCCAAGCCUGUUCUGCUCAGUCUCCAGACUGGAAACAUAUCUAUUUUCCUUUCACACAUACAUAAAAAAUCGGAUAGAUUAGUAUCUAAGUGGAUAAAUAAGUGUUUCUCCAGAAGUGGGAAAAUUAAUUGGAAUUACUUGUAAUAAUAGCAGAGCUUCACCGAGCCUUAAAGAUUGUUACUGUGAAAUUAAUAAAAAUCAUGCAGUGUUUAAAAUAUUCUGUAUAUUAAACAAACAUGAAAUUUUGCUAAAAGAGGUGGUAGGAAGAAAAACAGGAAAAAAAAGAGAAAAAGAAAAGGCAACAAAUAGAAAUACAAAACAAGAGUUUUGAGUAGAACUAAAGUCAACAGAUGGUUGAUCAUUCUUUAUGAGAAUGUAAUUUUUUUCAACCACUUAAUAUCAGACUGGCUGCUGAAGUUAAGAAUACAAUUAUAGAACAGUUAUUUGUCCUGAUAUUUAAUGGAAAUGUCAAAUAAGAGUGCAGCAGAAAAGGAAAAACCUCUCAAUAAAUCACAACACUAAUCUUAAAGGGAAGUGAGACAAUCUGCUUGAAUUGUAGAAGAAUUACAUCUGCCCUUGGACAUCAUGUAAGUAGUCAAGGGAGGGCCUUGAAGGCAGUAAAGACUGUAAAAGCCAUUCUCAGUGU
This is a long non-coding RNA of Passer domesticus (house sparrow), 2533 nucleotides long. RefSeq lists it as uncharacterized. The record is from RefSeq and is a predicted model, not a curated record. NCBI's taxonomy places the organism in Eukaryota, Metazoa, Chordata, Aves, Passeriformes, Passeridae. The transcript is spliced from 3 exons.